RNAcentral lists this long non-coding RNA (1896 nucleotides) under Diabrotica virgifera virgifera (western corn rootworm). Its description in RNAcentral is "uncharacterized LOC126887940". Lineage: Eukaryota; Metazoa; Arthropoda; Insecta; Coleoptera; Chrysomelidae. The record is from RNAcentral.
GAAACUGGUUGCCAUUAAACAGAAACAAUCUACUUAAAAAAAUUCUAUCGGUAAUUUUCUACAGUAAAUAAUUCUCAGUAUAAUUUUAAUCUGAUUGGACAGAAUUAAACACGUGAUCAAAUAUCUUACUAUACGAUUGGAUGUUAAAAUCAUUAAAAAAUAAUCACUUUAAUUUUUAUUUCUGUAGCUUUCUAUUGGUCAGAAUCUCCUAUGAAUGAAAUAAUCAAGGUCAUAGCUCUUCUCAAAAUCCAUUACCUUUACUUAUGUAAAGCCGGACUCAAACGACUCGUGUACUUGGCGAAUAAUCGUCACUUGCGGCAACUUGCCAUGUCGUCUGAGUGGGUUACUCGUACAAUUAUUUGUCACUCGUUGCCACUCGUUCGUCUUCCAACUGUUGUCGGUAAAAAAGACCCGAGUCAAAGGGAUCACGAUUAUUCGCACACUUGCGAAGUACAUACUUGUCUAUACUUGCAGAGGCGGUCAAACGAAAUGUAUAAAUAAUUGGCAUUUACUGCGACUAUUCAUUUAGACCAGUGCAUUUAGCACUAAAAACACCGGAAUAAAUCGAUUUUUAAAUACACCACCUAGAGACUUGCUCUCCUUUAAAGGGUACAUAACCUAUUUUGUUGAGUUGAAAAGAAAACAGUUGUUUUCAUAGUAUGUAUUUGUUUUCAUGUUUUGUUGUUUUUGUAUUUAACUUUUAAGGUUAACUUAACAGUCAAUAAUAAUAUAUUAUAUUAUUACUAGGAUUAAUUAAUUGUACUUUAAAAGCACAAUUAUGUAUAAUUUUUAAAUGUCUAGUUCAAGAAAUUUAUUGUAUUCAGAAGACCAAAAAUGAACCAGAACAGAUUAAGAACAAACUGUUUUGAACAAUAAUAAUAUUAUUAUGAUGAUAAACAAACAGUUUUGUGCCUUCUUAAAUAGAAAACCAAAUAACUUUCACUAUUAGAGGUGGAUACAUUACUCCCAUGCAACAAAUUCUGUUGGAUUGUAUGCAAUUAAAUGUAGCUGAUUUUAAGGCAGUGUCCAGAGGUUCAGCAAGUAGAAUUAUAAAAAUAGUAUCCUUUACAAUUGCAAGAAUCAUCAAGAGGUGGAAAGCUGUUGAAGAUUCUUACAAGAUUGCUGUAUUCCCUAGAAUAAUGAGUGCAAUGGGUUAUACUUUAAUUAAAAUAGAUUCUGCAGGUGUUCAGGAUGCAGAAAUUUUCAGGUCCAGAAAAUCAUUUUUUGCAUUGAAUGUGAAUGUCCAGUCAGUAAUGCAAAAUUUAAAAUUAGAGAUAUUGUUGUACUGUGGCCAUCAAAUAAGACAAUUUUAAUAAUAGUAGGCUGAAGCAUAAUUCAGGGGCUUAGAAUCACACAAACAUUUUGUUUUAUUUUCGUCUACAGAAAUAUUAGGGUUACGGUAACUGAACGUUAUAUGUACCUAAGUAUAUGCAUGUGCAAAUCAGAACUAAAGCAGGUGGACAUACGUUCGUGUGAAUCUUAAAUAAGAAGUUGAAUGUAGUUAUGUUUGUGUGACACUAGCCCCUGAAUUUUGAAAGUGGUAUCUUUGGCCAUUACGUAUUGGUUGGUGACAAUGACGAACAAGGAAUGUAGUAGAACAGCAAUAUGGAUUGUGGAAAUGAAGAUUUCCUAUACUCGGCUUAGAAAUGAGACUACAAUUAGACAACAUGACUGUGAUUGUUGCAACUAGAGUGCUUCAUAAUACUGACAUUGAUAUGGAUGACAAUUUUCCUGUGAAUAAAACUGAAGAUGAAGCAAACGAUGAAUAAUUACAACCGAUAAAAAAUAAUAAAAAUAUUUCAGAAAACAAUAUAACACUAAAUAAUAAGUGUUAAUAAAUGAACAGUGGUAGAUUGUAAAUAUAUUUAUUAAUAAAAGCAAAAUGAAUGUGUUAAA